AGCAACCGCAGCCUUUCGGUCCCCACCUGGCCUCCCUGGGGGCAUUUCUGCAGAGUUCCCGGCACAUCCCCUCAAUUUGAUUAGAAGCAGGAAGGAUCAGUGGCUCAUCGGCGACCCGAGCCACACUGGCUCCAGAGCUGGCCUGGCAGGCUUGGGGCUGGGCCGGGGCUCUCCCAGUUGUCUCCCUGUGUGCCCCCGACCCGGGGCUUGGGAUGUAUGUCAUCGCCCCCAGCUGACCUCCUGCAUCAUGGGUGUUCUUGUUGGCAAAGACGGCGAGACCCAAUGUCCUGCUGGAUAGCUGUCUGGAGGUGCAGGCUGGUGAGGAUCCAAGUGGAGUAGACGGCACCCAGCCCCAGAAGGCCUCACAGCAGGUACAGAGCAGCACCAGGCCUGGUACCCAACUACUUCCAGGGCCUGGCUGGGUUUUAUCUACUUUG
Molecule: long non-coding RNA, 437 nt
Filed under: Mustela putorius furo (domestic ferret)
Lineage: Eukaryota; Metazoa; Chordata; Mammalia; Carnivora; Mustelidae
Description: lncRNA (ENSMPUG00000029980.1)
Source: RNAcentral